AGCCUAAGGAAGGUAGUGAGCUUGUCUAGACUGAAAUAAGCAUUGGUCACCUGUACAUGGCACCAGCUCUCAUAGUGAGAUUCAGAUGAUUUUGGUAAAUCUGGUAUUUGGAUAACUAACAGAUAUUCUCAGCUCUGAUUUCCUUCAAGAUGGUGGUUGUAAAUAUUGGUAUAGAGACAGAAUGUUUGAAAUACAUUAAUAUUGGGGAAUUUGUAGUUCAAUUUUGCUGUAGGUAUUGCAUCUCCAUCUAAAGAAUCAGCCUUUUAAUUAUUUAAGACUGUAGCUAUUUUGAGAUUUAGUGUGAGGUGUUCCAUAGAUAGAAUCAUCUUUUGAUUUGCAUUCAGAAAAUAAGAGAAUUUUCCCUUUUCUGUGUAGAGGAGAGAAAACAUAAGGGCUAAAUAUAAUUGUCCGGAUCAUGAAUUAAGUCUAAACUUCUGGUGUCUUGGGAUUCUCAGGUUCACAAGUGACCAGCAGGCACCAGGGCAUUUCAGGUCAGUCUUCAGAUGUCUCUGAAAUAUGCUGAAAAAGUACAAAUUCGGUGUUAGAAUUUGGAAUGGCUCGUUUAAUUUCUAUGAAUUGUGUUGCACGGCUGCUUGGGCUGGGUAGCUAUAAGGGUUCAUCUAACAUGGGAAUCGGUGCUCAGAGUGAAAACCUUUCGCGACUCAAGAUUUGUUUAGGUCUGGUGUGGCAAGGGAGGUAGAAAUGCCACCGCAGAGCAGGGUCCCUGCCAUGCCAGACCUGAGCAGAGUCCCCUGGGCUAGAAAACAGAGUCAUGGGAAUGGCACUGGCAUUCUAUUCUUUUGUCUUGUAUGAACCACUGACUGCUGCUGGUCAGAAGUUUUCUGACAAAAUGAGUCAAUUCACUGGGCUGGAAUUGUUGCCAGGAAAGAUUCAGCUCGGCUGAGUCUCCUGCGUAGAGGUUUUUUUGGGUUUAAAAAAAAAAAGCCCCUUUGACAGUGCUGCUUUCACUCCGAUAAAGGAGGUCGAAAUCUGAACAGAACAUUUCAAAUGCACGGAAAGCAAAGCUGCUCUGUCCAGCCAGUCUGUCCUCCUGCGUAACGCUGACUCUGUGGACGUUUCUCCCUCCAAAUUUUCAACUCCUUUUGUGGAAGAAGUUUUGAAAGCAGAGCUGGCAACUUGAGAGCAGGAGUUGCAAAGCUGGAGCUUGCAAAACGGGUGGUGUCCUUUAUGGGCACACAUACCAGCUCCAGAAGACUGUUCUGUGAAUACUCGUUUCCCUCUUGUUACAAAGAUGAGAUGAAGACACACUCCACCUCAGCUUUCCAACAAGCAGGAACACAUAAUGUAGCACUGGAAAAACCUCAGCUGGACUCCUCUGGUGCUGCAGUUCAAGAGGACGUGGACCAGUCGGAAAAAGGCCAAAGAGGAGCAUCGAGUGUAAUUAGAGGUCUUGGAUAUGACCGGGGAGCUGCAGUUUCCAAUCGCAGUUCCCUGGGGCACCUGGGUGCUAAUGCUGCCCAUGUGUGCUGGCUCUCCCUGGAGUGACUGUUUGCAAACUCAGCUCUGUGGCCGGGGAAAUAGCUGCCUUCCUUUCAUCAGCAAUGCAUCAGAAAUGAGCAGAGUCCUUUUACCCUCUGUACUGGUGAACCACAAGAGUGAAAAUUUGAAACUAAGACUACUUUGGAAGUUUCUUGUCUAAGGUAAAGUAGCAUGGAACAACCCAAGAUCUCUCUCAGAGGUAUCAUUGUAUGGAUAUAUAACAUGAAAAUAAUAUAUUCCUGAUGAAGGAACAGGAGACAAACAUCACUAUAACAGUUUAGAAGCAGAGUAACUACAUCAAUUACAUAAGCAACCAAUCAGUUUUCUUUUGUAGAUUUGUCUUCAUGAAAUACCCAGUUAUGUUAAAUUCUGCAGGAUGGUGUCAUUCCUUUUUGUCUGCAGAUUUUUUGUGAGCAUUUAUCUUACUUCAGGAAGAUGCAAAGGAGAGCAUUUCUCUCCUGUACUAAAGAUCUAUUUCAGAUUUAUAUUCCCCAAAUACAAUACUAUCUGCCUAAUUGCUCUCUUCUCUUUAAUUUCCCCUUGUAAAAUCUUAUUAAUUUGCCAGUUUACUGGUGUGUACACAGAAAUAAUCAUACAUACACAUUCAAACCAAAAACACUGCACAGUGAUGGGUAAACAGGACAAAAUUUCCUUUUGCAUAACUUCUGCACUGGUUCUAGUUUUUUUCGCAAAACACUAAACAUUAGUUUUAAGUCAAGCAUUCUUUUAAAUGCUGAAUCAGAGCUCUUAUUCUUACAGUAAAGACAUAACUGGUUUCCCUUGUUUUGAUGUAUUUGGUCUGAAGUUGCUCGUUCUUUAGGGAGUGCACAGUAAAGCACGAAAAGGUCUAUUCCAUAGAAUAAUAGUUUUGUUUAAAUCACAUCUAGCUAACUUGGCAUUUUAGCUAAUAUUCAGUUAACUUGUCCAAUCAUCAAUCAAAGAGAUUAUGUACUAGAACUGAGACCACAAACAUUUGAAAAACAUAGAUGGUAUCAUUUUUCAAACCCUUAUAGUUUUCUUUUAUUCCAAGAUCCCUUCAACAUGCAGGAUCAAUGAAAACUACUACAUAUUCCAAGCAGCUUUCAGAAUGGGAGCUCUGAAGGAUUUCAGCUGGUGACUGAGGGACUUGCUGCACUUCAAAGGGCUGAAAAGGGCCAGGUUUGGCGUUUUUUUAUCCCUCUCUCUAGAUAUAUGUAGCAAGUACAAAAUGCAACAUACUCAUAAAAAGAGAAAACCCAGACACUACAUAAUUACAACACUUUUUCAGGAGUUGCAAAGUCUGCAAAUUUCCAGCCACUAGUAUUCCUCUCCCCUUUGGCUAAGGCGAGUUAGAGACUGUCCAAGAAACACAAAGCACAUACCCAAAUAUAAGCUAUCCACAUAGACCAUCUUUUAUGCUCUACCCUGUGUUUCAAAGAAGCUGUAGUAUGAUUGACAAGCUGCUGAAUUUCACAUGUUCGCAAAAUUUAAAAAGCACAGUCCUGGAGGAGGGACAUAAUCUCACCUCAUUAAAUUCAUUUUUGAGACCACUCCAUGGCCUGCUACUCACUGCUCCAGUGUGUUUAACUCAAUAGACAGCCUUUCACACACUUGAACGAUGGGGAAAAAAUAAAAUAUGAAUGUUUUCCUUUUUCUCUAUUACAAGUUAUGAAAUUAAAAUGGUUUUAGGUAUGCUGCAUGAACUUCCAAGAAUAUAAUUUGGAAAAACAUAUUUAAGCCUCAGUGUUGGUGAAGGUAAAUAACUGUGUGAAAAUAAAUGGAAUAUUAUGUUUCAACUUUUCCUUCUUAGUCUUUCUUGCUAAUAUUUUUUCCUGAUCUUCCUUACAUAAAACAACGUAUAGCGGAAUGUUGAUAUUUCACGGAAUAUAUCAAUGGGUUUUCCCCACUUUGGGAAAUAAAUAUACACACCUGGAAUUUAACUGCAACCUCAGGAGCCCCAGGCUUCCCCAAGUCAAGUCCUCUUGUUCAAAUUCCCACUUCCCACUGUGCUUGCUGCAAGUUCUACCUUCUGCAGCCAGUCAACAUGGGUUGCGGUGUUGGGGUUUUGGGGUGGUUUUGGCUUUUGUUGCAAACACCUGCUUUGCCACAACACUGCAAACCAGCGCACACUCAGCAUACCUGUCUGGGACCAUCCUUAAUUUUGGUAUAACAUAUUACAUCCACCCUGUGGAGAACAUCCAAGGAACAUCAACUCAUCUGCUCUUCCUCCCAGCCAGAUCCCUGCAGUGGAGACAUCUGGCCUCACAGCUCAAGCUCCAUGGAGUUGAGGGACACAAAAGCCAAAUACAAAAUGCUUCUGUAAGUAACCUGCCAGAGAAAUCUUUUCUCUGUGUGAAAACUAUCAGUUAUCUAACGUACCGGGAAUUUAUCCUUUCCCAGACUCUGCGGUGUAUUCAGGAGUCAACACUGCCUGCGAACUGAAGAGAUGUUUAACCUGUAUCAUUUGAUUCGCUAUGAUUGCACAAUUUCAAGGAAACAGAACUGUUCACUAAUACUCUCUGGGCAGAGACUAAAACUGAGAAAUGGUUCAAGCAAAGCAGCUUCUUAGGCUUUUUUUUUUGAUGUUUGCCAAAUUGUAUAAAAUAAAUAAAUAAUAUCUAUAUAUAUAAAAUAAAGGCAAGACAAAACCAAACCAACAACAACAAAACCCAAACAAAGCCAGAAAGUGGUAAAUAUAGUUAAAUCCCACCUGGGAAGGCUAUAAACUCUGUCUUCAAAGUUCCAGUUCUGUCCCAUGACUCUGCUUGCAGUGACAAGUGCAGCCAACAUCCUCAGAGGUUUGGGGCUGCUUUUCUUUUUAAUCAUGUGGGCUGGUCCACAAAGGCUUAUAAAUCCUACCUUAUGUUUCAGAGAAGAAAGGCUCCAAGUUCCCAGCCCUGCAGUGACAUCUUGAUGCAGCCAAGAGCUGAGUCUUUGAGCUACUGCAGGAAUAACCUUCCUCCCACGACAUUUGCCAAUGUACUCUAUAAUGACACUGUGGUAAAUAUGCCAAAAGCAUUGUGCACAGCUCCAAGUAUUACUAAUCUUGGGAAACGUAUGGGACGCAGCAGCAGUUGGUAUCUGAGAGUGGGAUAAAAAAAAAAAAAUCCAGUGCAGCUUGGAAAGUUAUUGCUAUUAAAAAUGUGCCUUCGCUUCAUGUCUUAAAAUCCUCUUUUUAAUUUGAAACAUUUUAUCGUUUGGCUGAGCUCGAAUUUUUUACCUAUUCUGAAUAGCAUUAAGAAAAAAAAAUCUGUUCACAUAUGUACACAUUCAUUUGUAUGGUGACAUCUGUGCCAUGACUAUGGAAAACAAAUGGAUCCUUCUCUCUUCCCCCCUAACCCACACUUCAUUUAUUCCAUGUGUCAUGUGCAGGGAUUUCCAGCGGGCACUCUGUCACCUUUUUUGAUGUAUGGUGUCCAAAACAGAUACACACUAUAGAAGCCUUAACUCCAUCAGAUGGAGCAGAAGGACAACUCCAUCUCUUAAGUUAAGUCUUCUCUUUGGACUCAGCUGAAAGCAACAUUUGCCUUGAUGAUCCCAAACCAGCCUGCCAGCAUAAAAAAAAAACCACCUCAAUUCUUAUAUUUUUAUAAUUUUUCCUAUUUGUCAAAGUCAUUUAGAAUUGUAACCUGGGUCCUUCAACACAUUUCCAGUCAAGCCCUGGUUGGUGUCAUCUGCAAAUUUAAUGUGGCUGUUCCUUUCAACCAUAGUCAUGGAUGAAAAUAAGGAACAGUGUUGCAUAAAACACAGAUCUCUGCAAAGUUUAUCUAUCUAUCUUGAUGGUAAACCAUUACAGCUACACUUUGACUAUUUUUUUAAAGAUGACACGUUUCUUUAGGACAUUCACAAAUAUGUGCAACAGGGUCAAUUGUUUUAUGCUGAGAAUAUGAAUAUGAGCACUUAAGAUGAAAUAUGCCAAAGAAAAUGAUGAAAAAUAAUCAAAGAACAAACUUCCAUACUUAUAGCACAAGCCAAACCACUGUCUUUACAGCACUGUGUAAACCUUUCAAAAUAUUAGGAAUGCAUAAUCUCCAUGAACAGAAAGAAGCAGAAAUGACUAAAAUGAAGCAAUUUAUUUUCAGCAAUAAAGCCGUGCAGAAUGGGGAGAAACUUGCAGCAUUUACACACCAGCUCAAGGCUGUAUGCAUAGUAAAUAUGUUUACUACUAGCGAAGAGCUAAUAAAGCUGCUGACAAUCAUACUGCCUUUCCACAGCUGAGGAUCAGACGAUUACUUAGACCAGGCGCAUAUAGUAAGUUGCAAAGCCCAGCUUAUAUGGCGACUUCCUCAUCAUUUUAGCAUAGAAUUUCCAUGAGCCUUUUUAAUCUAUGCUUUACAUGUUGAUAAUUGUGGUGGGGCGGAAGGGAGUUUCAGAGAGAUCUUAGAGCUUAAUUAAAAUAUACUGGUGCUACUUACAGUCCUUGCAGUAGCUGCAAUAGAUCUGAGGUGUGAUUUCUAACACUUAUGUCUGACAUAUACACAUAAACAACUUUUAAUUCAUAUUUGUAAGAAAAGCGGUGAAGAACAACUUCUCCUGACCGAUCCCAGAGAUCAUCACAGCCAGGUAAGUACAACAGCAGUAGAAGAGAGACAAGUAAUAGUUCUACACUAAAAUAAGCAGCAUUUACAAAGAUUUCGUUCUCCUCACCCCCAGAUGAAACUGUUACAUGCUGUCCAAUAUUUACACUUUGACAAAUUAUCAGGUCCACAAUUCUUUGGAAAAGGGACAGGAAAGCAUACAUCAUAAAACAAAAAAAAAAAAAUAAAAAGAUUCUAUGAUGUAAAGAUAUUUAAGUUCUUCCACUUAACAAUAUUUUUUUAAAAGUCCAAAUGAAAGUCUUGGGAAAUCAUGUGCCCCACAGGGCAUGUUAUUCUCCCAUAUACCGAAAACCAGGAACUUUAUUCCCAUUUUUAAUCCACAUCCCCUUCAGCCUGAAAAAUCUAUCAAGAAUCUGCACUAGAACAGGGGCCAUACUCUUUCCCACUGGGAAAAGUACUUGAUCCCACUCAUGUUCUUCAUUACUUUAUCAUGUCGGCAUAGCACGUGAUUUUUUUCCCACUGUGUAACCAGAGUUAACAUGAUUUCCUUUGUACUAUAGUAGAAAUCUAAGAAAAUAACCUCUAAAAGCUGAAGGGGUGAGAAAAAUAGGAUUGAGCCGUUAGUGCCUGGGCAGCCUUGAGUCUCACGUGCACAGCACAGUUGCAGUUGCCAAAACAAAAAUAUUUAUGUUUACCAAUGUAGCUAAAGAAUUCCUAAGGGAUGAAAACAAACAUCUUGUAGAACUGUUUUGCGUAUUUAUUGAUCAUUUACAUUAGGACUAAUAAUGCCCCAGAUCUACGUGCUUUUCAAAAAGGUAAGAAUGAACUGCUUUUGGAGAAUUAAUGACUCACCACCUCUUUCCAUUUCAGAAAAAUAAUUUGGAAAAACAAAAAAAAAAGGAAAGAAUCCCAUUUCUCAAUCAUAUCAGGUUAGCCAUAAAAAGCCAUCUACAUUAGAGUUCGUACAAAAUGAGAAGAUGGGCUUUGCCCAGUUAAUGCAGACAGUGCGCAUGCAAACAUGCACUUGGAAUUAUGCAGCAUUUACUGUGCAGACUGGGACAGUGCUGGUCAAAACCGCCUAUAAAGGAGUAACAAGGGAAAGAAAGAAUAGAUAUUAUAGAUUAACUUAAUUCAUCUUGUCUACCAAUGUGUAUUGUAAUGUUUGUUGAAAGCCAAAUGCAUUUUUGCUAUAUUGUGGAUUAUGUAUAUAGCAGCCUAACUCAUGGGAUAAGUUCUUAUUAAUUAUUACUACAGGAUAAAUUGUUUUACUAAAAUAACUAGUUUUAACUUCUUCCUUUUAUAAUCUCUCAGGACUUAGUAGAGAAACUGAAAGCACCCUUGAUGCUGUUAACAUCGCAAUUCAAAAUUUGGUGGAUCUGAAUAUAUAUACAAUAUGUGUAUGUAUAUAUAUAUAUGUAUAUAUAUAUAAUAACAUAUUACCAUAUUUUAGAGGUCCAUCAUCAUCUGAAACCUUUAACCUUAGCUUAAAACCUUAACCUAACCUAAAGUUAAAAAUAUUAAUUAUGCAAGUAGCACCAGGUACUACUUCUAUUGAAUCUUCUCCACCUAAUCAUCAUUGUGACAAUAUUUAGUUGGGUUUUUUUUGGGAUUUUUGAAUUUUUUUUCUCCCCAGGGUCCUGUUGAGAUGGUAAAUCACUCCUGUGACAUUUGUCGGGGAAAACACAAGGACACAGGAGGGGAAAAAAAGAGUAUCUUUGAGCCAUCAGAACUGGAGAAGUAGAAGACAUUUCUUUUGCUGCUCUUUUGGAAGUAUCUUGUAUGCUGGUUGAAAUGAGCCUCGAUGGACGCUAACAGCGGACUUUGCACACGCCACGGGGAGGAUCUGGUACUGUUUUUAAAAGGGGAAACUUGAUAUAUUUCCAUGGAGCUAUUUAUAGUCACUUCCACCAUACAGUGAAAACCUGACCUCCAGGUUUGACACAUGCCUGACAUCUCAUUUUUUUUUUUAAUCAGAAAUGAUGAUGAAAAACCAUCAUAAAAGCAACAUGAAGAGCACACAAUGUCUUGCAAAAACAAAGAAUUUUUAAAAAGCCACAGCUGUAAUAACGUCAGCAGUGAAGUUUGCUCUUACAUAUAUGUAUUUGUUGAACCAGCACGCAGGGCUGGCAUUUCACAUCGCCGUCUGUAACCCUACACUGCUGGGAUAUGAUUAGCUACUUAAGGGCAUGUAAUUUGCAGUGUGUAACUACACUGACCAGAAGGAACCAAUUCUAAACUUACCCUGAUACACAAUGAGAAACAGGUCUUAAACCAGCCAGCAAGCAAACUUAUGUGCUUUAUUACUGCAGCAUUUUUUUGCCACUGAAACAUGAGAAAAGCUGGGGAAAACUGUAAAAACAAGCCAGAUCUUCUCUGGGAAUAUGAGGAAGAGUAGCACGGUGCUACUAAACAAAGCCCAAGUUAAUGCAGGCUGUUAUGUAGUAUAAUUUUUAUAAACAUAUUUCUUCAGAUCUACCACAGAAAACAGAAUUUAGAAAAGCGUUGCUCAAAGAAUGAAACAUAUCUUUGGUGUAUAUUUUACCUAGAUGGCUUCACUGGACAUGAGCAGUAGCAGAGGGGAGAACUGGCCUCCAAAACAAGAAUUGUAUAAUAUUUAGAUGCUGAGAGUAAGCACUGCAUAAAUGUGUGUGUACAAAGGCAAAUGACAGCAAGUUAGGCUUCAUAAUGGGGGAAAAAGUAGCAUUACAUCUGAAAUACUGAAAUCUCAGUUAUUGAUACUUUUGCUAAUAAACAUAAACAGAGAUC
This is a long non-coding RNA of Columba livia (rock pigeon), 8783 nucleotides long. RefSeq lists it as uncharacterized. The record is from RefSeq and is a predicted model, not a curated record. The transcript has 5 exons. Lineage: Eukaryota; Metazoa; Chordata; Aves; Columbiformes; Columbidae.